Molecule: ribosomal RNA, 305 nt
Filed under: uncultured bacterium
Lineage: Bacteria
Description: bacterial SSU rRNA
Rfam family: Bacterial small subunit ribosomal RNA
Source: RNAcentral
UCCUACGGGGGGCAGCAGUAGGGAAUCUUCCACAAUGGGCGAAAGCCUGAUGGAGCAACGCCGCGUGGGUGAAGAAGGUCUUCGGAUCGUAAAACCCUGUUGUUGGAGAAGAAAGUGCGUGAGAGUAACUGUUCACGUUUCGACGGUAUCUAACCAGAAAGCCACGGCUAACUACGUGCCAGCAGCCGCGGUAAUACGUAGGUGGCAAGCGUUAUCCGGAUUUAUUGGGCGUAAAGGGAACGCAGGCGGUCUUUUAAGUCUGAUGUGAAAGCCUUCGGCUUAACCGGGGUAGUGCAUUGGAAACU